Molecule: ribosomal RNA, 468 nt
Filed under: uncultured bacterium
Lineage: Bacteria
Description: partial 16S ribosomal RNA
Rfam family: Bacterial small subunit ribosomal RNA
Source: RNAcentral
GACGAACGCUGGCGGCGUGCUUAACACAUGCAAGUCGAACGGAAAGGCCCUGCUUUUGUGGGGUGCUCGAGGGGCGAACGGGUGUGUAACACGUGAGUAACCUGCCCUUGACUUUGGGAUAACUUCAGGAAACUGGGGCUAAUACCGGAUAGGAGCUCCUGCCGCAUGGGGGGGGUUGGAAAGAUUCGGCGGUUGGGGAUGGACUCUCGGCUUAUCAGCUUGUUGGUGGGGUAGUGGCUUACCAAGGCUUUGACGGGUAGCCGGCCUGAGAGGGUGACCGGGCACAUUGGGACUGCGAUACGGCCCAGACUCCUACGGGAGGCAGCAGUGGGGAAUCUUGCGCAAUGGGCGGCAGCCUGCUGCAGCAACGCCGCGUGCGGGAUGACGGCCUUCGGGUUGUAAACCGCUUUCGCCUGUGACGACGCGUGCGUGACGUUAAUGGGUACAGAAGCACCGGCUAACUACGUG